RNAcentral lists this unclassified non-coding RNA (480 nucleotides) under uncultured Bordetella sp. RNAcentral describes it as "partial 16S-23S ribosomal RNA intergenic spacer". It matches the Rfam family "Bacterial small subunit ribosomal RNA", at positions 312 to 794 of the family's 1533-position model. Lineage: Bacteria; Pseudomonadati; Pseudomonadota; Betaproteobacteria; Burkholderiales; Alcaligenaceae. The record is from RNAcentral.
CCGGAGCAUCAAGUAUCUUCAGCCACCAGGACGCAACGGUGAUGUUCAGAAUUUUGGACAAUGGGGAAAACCACUGAUCCAGCCAUCCCGCGUGUGCGAUGAAGGCCUUCGGGUUGUAAGCGCGCAUGCGGAAAAACAGCGCAGGAUAUGCCCAAUGCAACAAGCAGUACCUGCAAGUAAGCACCGGCUAACUACGUGCCAGCAGCCGCGGUAAUACGUAGGGUGCAAGCGUUAAUCGAGAUUACUGAGGCGUAAAGCGUGCGACAGUUCAGGAAGAAAAGAAUAAUCCCUGACUUAAACUUUUGGAACUGCAUUUUUAACUACCGAAGCAAGUGUGUCAGAGGGAGGUGGGAACUACGCGUGUAGCAGUGAAGAAAUGCGUAGAUAUGCCGGAAGAACACGAUAGCGAAGGCGACCUCCCUGGGAUAACACUGACGCUCAUGCACAGCGUGGGGAGCGGCAAGUUAAAUACCCGGUGGU